UUGGCUCGCUUGUCAUCAUUUCCAUUAUUUUAGCAAACACUAGAGCCAGCUGAACGGACCGUAAUUACUGGGCGAAAACACAACUUUUCUUUGAAAAUGACGCGGCAUCAAAGAAACUGUACUGCUGGGACUGUUUACACUUAUCAUGAGCGGCAGAAAGAUACAGUGACUCAGAGGUAUUAACGAUGUCUAGGAGGGCAGCACUGUCUUCACGGGAUCUUAAUGCGGCAACAUCCCAUGAACAUCCCAUGAGCAAGCUGCCAGUGCCCUCCAAGCCUCGCCAGGUGAAACUGAAAGUCAAGCCGUGGACGAGGGUAACGACAAAGGUGCAACCACGACUGCGGCUGUGAAGCCUGGAAAACCGAUCGUUGCUCGCAACCCAGCACCUGCUAGAAGCACAGCAAGGCCUAGGCCUACUAACACCUCAACAGCUAAGCCUGGCGUGACCAGCGCUUCUGACGGCCCCAAAAAGAUGGACGCAUCUACCACCAUACUGCGCCUGCAGCAGGAGAAGCGAGACCUGCUGCAGACAAACAUCGACCUGCAGAGCCAGCUAAGUGACUCCAGGGACGAAGUGGCCAAGGCCAAGCUUCACAUCGACCGUAUCCAGAAGGAAUUGGAUGUGCACGAAAAAAAAAUGGAAAAGAUUACAGAAAAAAUAACCAGGUACCUUAGUGAAAAAAUCGUUACAAGGUGGAUAAAAGCACAAUUUUUUCACCAAAGCAUCUCUCUUUUCGAAGAAAAGACGGACGCAAGAAAUUGGAUGAUUAAAAGGUCAAUUUAUGACUUCAUUAUGACGUCAUCAGCUAAUUAAAGCCAUUCCUCUGGCGAGAGGACCAUCAAGCUUCUUUUAUAACCCUUAAACGCUCCAUCUCAACUCAGUACUGGCUACGAUUCUCUGACCCAGAGGUAUAGAAACCAUCUUCAAAGUAGAUGGUAUUACCCAGGAAGGUAAACCCAUUGCAUUUUCCUCAAAAAGCCUAUAGAUCCUGUUCCAGAGCAUAUUCUUCAAUAUCGAGAGGAAGCUGUGGCACUGCUGCAGCUUUAUUCGGCUGCAACUUCAUUGUUGUCACUGACCAUUACAACCAUUGGUUACAAUUUGGUGCAAAAUCCUAGCCAGUGCACCACCUCGCUUGUAGCGUCUUAAGCUACAAGGAUACGACUUCAACGAUGUCUACAAACCUGGUCCUACGAUGGUGAUCGCAGAUGCACCCGGCAGAUUGCCCAACUCUCCAAGCUCGACAACGUAACAUGUGAUGAAUCUGUAACUUAGAUACACUGAGAUGGUCAUACGACUGUAACUUAUGUUACGUUUUUUUUUGUCCGCCUAUCUUUGGAAUAAGUUUAAACAUUUAAGAUACCAAUAAUCAAUUACGAAAACUCUCUUGGCAUAGAAUUUGAACCAUUCUCUCUGACUUAAGAACAAAAACUCACAUACCAAUUACGGUUUGCAUGUUAAAACGAGGUGCUAAAAUGAUCACCAGAAAAUCCAUGAUUUUAGCACCAAAUUUUUUUUUUUACCAAAAAAGGGCUUUUUUGCCCAAAACAACACCCUGGACUACAUUACAUCCCACUGACAUACCACUCGAAUGAAA
Long non-coding RNA from Patiria miniata (bat star), 1595 nucleotides. RefSeq lists it as uncharacterized. Lineage: Eukaryota; Metazoa; Echinodermata; Asteroidea; Valvatida; Asterinidae. The transcript is spliced from 7 exons. The record is from RefSeq and is a predicted model, not a curated record.